UUGCCAUUUGUGUGACCAACUGCAUGUUCAUAAAAUUAAUCGGUGACCAGGUAAAAAUAUUUUUAGCAUCUGUGUGAUUGUGUGGGGUGAGAGGGUUAUCUAACCCUACUCAUUGAGUUUGGCGCUCACCCCUGCCUACCUAUUUUUUUUCAGGUAAUAGAAGAAAGUCCUAUGGAGUUGAAACAUUAAUUAUAGAAGACUGUUAAUGAGAAAAUAAUGAUGUAAA
RNAcentral lists this long non-coding RNA (226 nucleotides) under Jatropha curcas. Its description in RNAcentral is "long non-coding RNA (JCUR_LNC001750)". The record is from RNAcentral. Lineage: Eukaryota; Viridiplantae; Streptophyta; Magnoliopsida; Malpighiales; Euphorbiaceae.